RNAcentral lists this unclassified non-coding RNA (270 nucleotides) under Hevea brasiliensis (rubber tree). The record is from RNAcentral. Lineage: Eukaryota; Viridiplantae; Streptophyta; Magnoliopsida; Malpighiales; Euphorbiaceae.
CUCGCAUCUCUUUCCUGCUCUCUCCCUCAAUUACUUCUUUUAUGCAAUCCCUUAUCACAUCUCUUCCAACAACCCCUUUCUCACCCAUUGGAGCUCUAAUUCCCAUUUUCCAAACAUCCAUAAUAUACUUGGCGUUGGUGCUUUGGUCUGUCCACUGUGGCAUUGCCACCAUUGGCACUCCCAAACUCAAUGCCUCCAAGGUUGAGUUCCAUCCACAAUGUGUGAGAAAGCAUCCCACUGCUUCAUCUGCUAAGACCUCUAGCUGUGGAC